AAGCUACUUUAAUAAUGCAGGCAGUGGAUGCCUUGGCAUAGUGUGCCGAAGAAGGACGUACAUAGCCGCGAUAGUCGUCGGGGAGCUGCUAAGAAGCAAUGAGCCGGCGGUGUCCGAAUGGAGGAAUCCCUGCUGGAGUAAUCCAGCGGACCCCGGUGUUACACCGGGGGGGUAAGCCACCGAACUGAAAUAUCUCAGUAAGUGGAGGAAAAGAAAUCGAAUGAGAUUCCCUGAGUAAGCGACGAGCGAAAAGGGAACAGCCUAAACUUGAGGCGCAAGCCUUGAGGGUUGCAGGACUUUCAAUGUAGGAUUGGCAAGGAUAGUCAAAUAGUCUGGAACGUCUGACCAAAGAGGGUGAUAGUCCCGUAGACGAAAUUCAAACCAACCUUAGAAAGACUCCUAAGUACUUUCGGAGACGGCAAACUCCGGGAGGAAGCUGGGCCGACCAUGGUCCAAGGCUAAAUACACACUAUGACCGAUAGUGAACGAGUACCGUGAGGGAAAGGUGAAAAGAAGGGUGAGAGACCCAGUGAAAUAGUACCUGAAACUGCUUGCUAACAAACAGACAGAGUCCGGCCGCAAGGUCAGGAUGAUGUCGUGCCUAUUGAAGAAUGAUCCACCGAGUUAAUACCGACUGCAAGCUUAAGUGAUUGUCAUCACGGAGGCGGAGUGAAAGCGAGCCUGAAUAGGGCGACCAUAGUAGUCAGUAUUAGACCCGAAACCAGACGAUCUAUCCAUGGCCAGGGUGAAGCCCGCCGAAAGGCGGGUGGAAGCCCGCACCAGUGUAUGUUGCAAGAUGCUUGGAUGAGCUGUGGAUAGCGGCAAUAUACCAAUCGAGUCUGGAGCUAGCUGGUUCUCCCCGAAACAUAUCUAGGUAUGGGCUCACGUGAUUGCCUACGGGGGUAGAGCACUGGAUGGGUAUUUUGUGGGUAACCGCAGAUAUCUAAUCAAACUCCGAAUACCGUAAGGUUCAGCGUGGGACUCAGUACGCCAGGGCUAAGCUUGGCGGGCAAAAGGGAAACAUCCCAGAUCAUCGUCUAAGGUCUCUAACUCUCUGUUAAGUGGGAAAGGAAGUCAUUUGCCUAAAACACCCAGGAGGUCGGCUUAGAAGCAGCCAUCCUUGAAAGAAAGCGUAACAGCUCACUGGCCGAGGGAAGUGGCGCCGAAGAUUUACGAGGCUUAAACAGAGGACCGAAGACAUGGCUGCUCCGCAUUUAUGCGGGGCGGGGUAGGGGAGCGUUCUUGUUGCAGUGAAGCUGUGCUGUAAGGCAUGGUGGAGCGGCAAGAAGUGAGAAUGGUGGAAUGAGUAGCGAGAAGCUGGUGAGAAUCCAGUUCGCCGUAUGUCCAAGGGUUCCUGAGCAACGUUCGUCGACUCAGGGUUAGGCGACCCUAAGGUGAGGCCGCAAAGGCGUAGCCGAUGGAUUAUGGGUUAAUAUUCCCAUCCUGUUUGUAGAUCGUUAUGAGUUGGGGCCGGACUUUCUAGGCUAACUUGGGCCUGGUGCUGAAGUUACCGGGUGAAAGCUGGUGAGGUAAUUGUGAUUGGAAAAUCCGUCAUGAUGUUUAACCGAGCCGUGAUGACGACCCUAGUCUUUGACCGGGGAAGUUGAGUGACGCAUGGAAACGAGAAAAUGGUCGCGACCAGAUCUAUAAAUAACCGUACCGAUAACCGACACAGGUGGACGAGUCGAGUAGACUCAGGCGAGCGGGAGAACUUUCCUUAAGGAAUUCGGCAAAUUAGCUGGGCGUACGUUCGCAAUAUGCCCUAUCCGGCGUAAGCCGGAUCACAGCAAAAGUUGGCGGAGGGACUGUUUAACAAAAACACAGGUCUGUGCAAACUCGAAAGAGGAAGUAUACGGGCUGAGGCCUGCCCAGUGCCGGAAGGUUAAUUGCGAGAGUGGUUACCGCAAGGUACCUGCUUUCAAUCGAAGCCCCGGUGAACGGCAGCAGUAACUAUAACUGUUCUAUGGUAGAUAAUCGCUGCCAUAGUAAAACUUUGCUAUAUGCUGGAAAAUCCGUGUAUCUUGAACUACCAUAUUUAUGGUAACGUGUUACCAUAGAUGGGUAAAAAUGUUCCAAGUGCGGACAAUCAGCAGGAAAGACUAAAAACGAAAGGUUGGAUUGUGGGUUUCACGGAUGGUGAAGGGUGUUUCACCCUUUCUAUCAUCAGAACUCAACAUCUAAAUUGGGUUGGCAAAAAUGUCUUGGCAAAUUAAUAACCAAAAGAAACCUAAGUUUUUAGAAUCCUCAGAGACUAUACGCAGAGGGGACAUUAUUUAGAUAUAUGCUAAAGCAUAUAUCUUGUCCCAAGAUAUAGUCCGAACUCAAGAGCGAUCUUGAGAGUGAUUAAAAGCGUGAUCACGAAAUAACAAGACGUAAUCAAUAAAAUUGAUUUUUGAGCGAAGUCCCUAGUCGCUUAAUUAGCGACCUGCACGAAAGGUGUAACCACUCUGCCACUGUCUUGAGGAAAGACCCGGCGAAAUUGCAAUGGCUGUGAAGAUGCGGCCUACUGGCAGCUGGACAAAAAGACCCUGUGGAGCUUUACUACAGCUUGGCACUGGUUUUUUAACCAAAAUUGUCUAGUAUAGGCGGGAGUGUGCGGAUUUAUUUCGCAUACAUCAGUGUAAUACCGCUCGUUUUGAUUAAGAAACCUCACCUAUCCCGAUUGCAAACAUCGGGAGGGACACUGCUUGGUGGGUAGUUUAACUGGGGAGGUUGCUUGCUAAAGAGUAACGCAAGCGCACAAAGGUACUCUUAGCCCGGAUGGAAAUCGGGCUUGAACGUGCAAUGGCAGAAGAGUGCUUGACUGUGAGGGUUACAACCCGAGCAGGGGCGAAAGCCGGUCAUAGUGAUCCUCGUGUGCUUUAUGGAAGGCACCGGGCUUAACGGAUAAAAGCUACCCCGGGGAUAACAGAGUAGUCGCGCCUAAGCGUCCCUAGCGACGGCGCGGUUCGCUACCUCGAUGUCGGCUCAGCGCAUCCCGGGGGUGGAGAAGCUCCCAAGGGUCCGUCUGUUCGUCGGUUAAAGCGCUACGUGAGCUGGGUUCAGAGCGUCGUGAGACAGCAAAACGAAAGUUUUUUGGUCAUACUGUCUCAGUUGUAGAUAGACGAUUUUGAACAAUUCGAGCCUGUUAUAAAUAUACAACCUCCGGUAUCGUACCGGAGAUAAAUCUGACUAUAUGCUGGAAACUCUGAGAAUCUCACACUAGUUGAUUUCGGAUAAUCUUCGGAAUUAUACUAAAAAUGUGUUGAGUGCAGACAAUCAGCAGGAAAGACUAUGAGUCAGAUAUCGGAUGAUUAUUUAAUUGGAUUUAUUGAGGGUGAAGGUUGUUUUUAUGUGAGCUUUGUUCCAUCAAAGGAAACAAAGUCGCGUUGGCAAUUAAUCUAUUUCUUUAAAGUAUCUCAAAAUCCUCGAGGAAUAGAGGUUUUGGAAGCUUUGAAAAAUAGAUUGGAAUGCGGAUAUAUAAAACAUAAUGCUUCUGCCACUUCAUCGGAUAAAUCAUUAGCGUAUGUUGUCCGAAACAUAAGAGAUAUUAAAGAAAAAGUGAUACCUUUUUUUAAUGAAAAAUUAAUUAUAAAAAGGGAAGACUUUAAAAAGUUUUGCCAAGUAAUUCAGUUGGUUUUAGAAAAGAAACAUCUUACAAGAGAAGGUGUUGAAGAAAUAAUCUCUAUUACCAACACAAUGAAUACGGGUAAACGAAAAUAUCAUGCUCAUAGAAUCCUCAGAGACUAUACGUCAGAGAAACAUUAGAUAUAUGCUAAAGCAUAUAUCUUGUUCCAAGAUAUAGUCCGAACUCUAAGGCGACUUAGAGAUUAACAAUUAUUUGUCGGCCUCUAUCCGCUGUCAGCGUGGGAAUCUUGAGGGAAUUCGGCCUCAGUAAAAGUUGCUGCCCAUUCCAGUAAUGGAAUGGUGUAACACUUGCUCAAAUCGGUGAAACCCUUUACUUUUAUGACCAUGGUCUUAGGGUCGUAAAGGAUAAUACCGAGGGAAUACGCCAUUGGCGUACCCGUAACGACUGGAUCUCCGGUGUGAUACCGGAGUGAAGAUGGUUCCGCUUAGCGGGAUCAUAACACGGCAAGCUCCUCCACUGGAGGAUGAAGGUAUAGUCUACACUUUUGGUAACAAAAGAGAAUGUGACGAGAGGACCAGGUUGAGGUAAUCCCUAGUGUGUCUGUUGUACCCGUCAGGGGCAUCGCAGAGUAGCUACAUUACCGUCGGAUAACCGCUGAAAGCAUCUAAGCGGGAAACCGCACCCAAGAUUAGGAUUCCGGCCCUCCAUUGGAGGGGAGAGACCCCUGGGAGACUACCAGGUUGAUAGGCGGGCGGUGUACGUGCCGUAAGGCAUUUAGCCUACCCGUACUAAUGGUCAAAGAGUAGUUUAU
Microgenomates group bacterium RBG_16_45_19 is the source of this 4379-nucleotide non-coding RNA. The record is from Rfam.